CCUACGGGGGGCUGCAGGCGCGAAACCUCCGCAAUGCGAGCAAUCGCGACGGGGGGACCCCAAGUGCCACUCUUAACGGGGUGGCUUUUCAUAAGUGUAAAAAGCUUUUGGAAUAAGAGCUGGGCAAGACCGGUGCCAGCCGCCGCGGUAACACUGGCAGCUCAAGUGGUGGCCGUUUUUAUUGGGCCUAAAGCGUUCGUAGCCGGUUUGAUAAGUCUCUGGUGAAAUCCUACAGCUUAACUGUGGGAAUUGCUGGAGAUACUAGCAGACUUGAGGUCGGGAGAGGUUAGAGGAACUCCCAGGGUAGGGGUGAAAUCCUAUAAUCCUGGGAGGACCACCUGUGGCGAAGGCGUCUAACUGGAACGAACCUGACGGUGAGUAACGAAAGCCAGGGGCGCGAACCGGAUUAGAUACCCUGGUAGUCAAA
Molecule: ribosomal RNA, 427 nt
Filed under: uncultured Methanobacterium sp.
Lineage: Archaea; Methanobacteriati; Methanobacteriota; Methanobacteria; Methanobacteriales; Methanobacteriaceae
Description: bacterial SSU rRNA
Rfam family: Archaeal small subunit ribosomal RNA
Source: RNAcentral